Molecule: ribosomal RNA, 263 nt
Filed under: uncultured bacterium
Lineage: Bacteria
Description: partial 16S ribosomal RNA
Rfam family: Bacterial small subunit ribosomal RNA
Source: RNAcentral
UACGUAGGGUGCAAGCGUUAAUCGGAAUUACUGGGCGUAAAGCGUGCGCAGGCGGUUUUGUAAGCCAGAUGUGAAAUCCCCGGGCUUAACCUGGGAAUGGCAUUUGGGACUGCAAGGCUUGAGUUUGGCAGAGGAGACUGGAAUUCCUGGUGUAGCAGUGAAAUGCGUAGAUAUCAGGAGGAAUACCGAUGGCGAAGGCAGGUCUCUGGGCUAGAACUGACGCUCAUGCACGAAAGGCGUGGGGAGCAAACGAGGAUUACGAA